UAUAAAUUUUAUAAAAUAAUUUUGGAUAAAUUCUACACUUAAAAAUAUAAAAAUAGAAGUAAAUAAGUUUUUUCUAUAAUUUAUGUAAAAUAAUUUUGCUAACUUUUUAAUUUGUUGGCCAAGUGACCAAGUUGGCAAGAGGCAAGGAAAUGGCUGACUCUAAAUAGUGAGAUUGAAGGACACUUAAAAGUUGCAUCUGCUGAAUCUAACAGAUAUGUUACAUCUAUCUAUCUUCGUUACCUCUAUGAUGAGCUUUGUUGCUUUAUAUGCGCCGUUCUGCAAGCUCUAUCGUCGUCACUUCACUCUAUAUGUGAUCGAGGGGUAUGCGGUUGAAGGGGAAUGAAAAACAUACGACGAAGGUUGAACUGUUAGUAUGAAACAAAAGGUAAGUGCAGCUGCCAUUGCCAAAGUCACGUCGUACUUAAGAAAUACUUUUCUCUCUCUCUAUUGAUUAAUCUAUAAUUUAUCAGUAAUUUGACAUGGGGAAGGGAAAAGGCGGUGGUGGUGGUGGAGGUGGCGGUGGAAAGGGUGGUGACACUAAAAAAGCAGGAGGAACAGCACCUGGAAAAGGAUCUGAGGCCAAAGCCGACUCGAAGGGAGGAAAUAAAGGUGGAAAAAAAGGUGGGAAAAAAUAACAUCAGCUUUCUCAUCAAUCUUCACACUCUCUUCCUUCUUUGAUGAUUUUUCGAAUGAUUUUUUUCGAAUAAAAAUAUAUAUAUAUAUAUAUUAUUUAAGUUAUUAAUUUAUUAAUAAUAAAAUAAUUUAUAAAACCACUAUA
This 778-nucleotide long non-coding RNA is filed under the name Chelonus insularis. Its description in RNAcentral is "uncharacterized LOC118068292, transcript variant X1". The record is from RNAcentral. Lineage: Eukaryota; Metazoa; Arthropoda; Insecta; Hymenoptera; Braconidae.